This 503-nucleotide ribosomal RNA is filed under the name uncultured bacterium. RNAcentral's name for it is "bacterial SSU rRNA". It matches the Rfam family "Bacterial small subunit ribosomal RNA", at positions 8 to 524 of the family's 1533-position model. The record is from RNAcentral.
AGAGUUUGAUCCUGGCUCAGAUUGAACGCUGGCGGAAUGCUUUACACAUGCAAGUCGAACGGCAGCAUAGGUGCUUGCACCUGAUGGCGAGUGGCGAACGGGUGAGUAAUACAUCGGAACGUGCCCAGUCGUGGGGGAUAACGUAGCGAAAGUUACGCUAAUACCGCAUACGAUCUACGGAUGAAAGCGGGGGACCGUAAGGCCUCGCGCGAUUGGAGCGGCCGAUGUUAGAUUAGGUAGUUGGUGGGGUAAAGGCUCACCAAGCCGACGAUCUAUAGCUGGUCUGAGAGGAUGAUCAGCCACACUGGGACUGAGACACGGCCCAGACUCCUACGGGAGGCAGCAGUGGGGAAUUUUGGACAAUGGGCGCAAGCCUGAUCCAGCCAUUCCGCGUGCAGGACGAAGGCCUUCGGGUUGUAAACCUCUUUUAGCAGGGAAGAAGGGUAACUGACGGUACCUGCAGAAAAAGCACCGGCUAACUACGUGCCAGCAGCCGCGGUAAU